RNAcentral lists this microRNA precursor (81 nucleotides) under Pongo abelii (Sumatran orangutan). Its description in RNAcentral is "miRNA". Lineage: Eukaryota; Metazoa; Chordata; Mammalia; Primates; Hominidae. The record is from RNAcentral.
AUACAUACAUGUACACACACGUCACCCACACACACAUAUAUAUAUUAUAUGUUAUGGAUAUGUGUGUGUAUGUGUGUGUAU